CGGGGGAGGAGAGAGGAGGCAAGGAAAAGGAAUUGUUUCCAAUCCUCGCAUUCAUCAACAUUAGCAGCAAUUGUAGCUGUAACGGUAAUGAUGUGUAUGACGAUACCAAGGCAGGACUUGUGUCCUUAGGAUAAUAACGACAGAUGUAUAACCCUCAAGCCAAAUUGUCUACAGAUGCAACCCAGCACAGAUGUGGUAAGAUACGAUACACAUCACUCAUCACUUGCCUGUCAACUUUUUUCGAAAUCUUUUUUUGUCUCACAUUUAAUCCCUCAUGGCAAGCCACUUGCACAAACGUAAGUUCAACAUCUAGUUUCGAUUUGCUUGAGUUGUCAACUAACGUGAAUUGAACGUGAAAUCAACGGGAGAAAAUAAAUUCCCUUACGUUGUUGGCGUUUUGCAAACCUUGAAAUGACGUGGAAACCACGUUGAUUCAUCCAGUUGUUGGCCAGUGGGAAGAUUUUUUUUUUUUAAUCGUUUGUCUUUUUGGGGUGGGACAUUGUAAAAGAGGGCCAGAGAGAGAGAGAGAGAAAGAAAAAGACAGAGAGAAUAGUCCAGAUGUGAGAUGUGACGCGCUGCCGGACGAGCCAGACACGACGAUCCAGUGUUAUUGAUGAAGAAUAGAAAAUGUUCUACCAUCGAGGGAAAGUCUGCGCUAUUGAUGGGCUUUCUAAUUUAUAACGGGUGUAUGUGUGUGUCUGGUUAACCGUCAGAGGUGAAAGAUCAGAGGUCACAGCAGGUCGGAGGCAAGAGGUCAGGGGUCAUGUCUACCGUGGCAUUCCAGAACCUUCCUCUCAACAUUUAUAUGGUCAUCUUCGGGACCGGAGUCUUCGUUUUCGUCCUGAGCCUCAUCUUCUGCUGCUACUUCAUCAGUGAAGCCGCUCAACAACUACACCACACCAGUCACCCAACAGACUCCCAUUCAGAGCGACACACAGAGGCAGCCAGGGUCAAAGCCCUGCUCAAGGGCACAUCGACAGAUCUCCCACAAGGCCAAAAACGGGGACCCGAACCCUCCAAGAUCCCCCACAGUUCCC
Molecule: long non-coding RNA, 1037 nt
Organism: Oncorhynchus tshawytscha (Chinook salmon)
Lineage: Eukaryota; Metazoa; Chordata; Actinopteri; Salmoniformes; Salmonidae
Source: Ensembl